RNAcentral lists this ribosomal RNA (255 nucleotides) under uncultured bacterium. RNAcentral's name for it is "partial 16S ribosomal RNA". It matches the Rfam family "Bacterial small subunit ribosomal RNA", at positions 524 to 776 of the family's 1533-position model. The record is from RNAcentral.
UACGUAGGGUGCAAGCGUUAAUCGGAAUUACUGGGCGUAAAGCGUGCGCAGGCGGUUAUGCAAGACAGAUGUGAAAUCCCCGGGCUCAACCCUGGGAACUGCAUUUGUGACUGCAUAGCUGGAGUGCGGCAGAGGGGGGAUGGAAUUCCGCGUGUAGCAGUGAAAUGCGUAGAUAUGCGGAGGAACACCGAUGGCGAAGGCAAUCCCCUGGGCCUGCACUGACGCUCAUGCACGAAAGCGUGGGGAGCAAACAGG